UUAGAGGAAGUAAAAGUCGUAACAAGGUUUCCGUAGGUGAACCUGCGGAAGGAUCAUUACUGAAGAACGGGUAAGGUUGAGCUGGCUUCUAGGAGCAAUGUGCUUGCCUUAUCGCUUUUUCUACUCUCCACUGUGCACCUCUUGUAGGCUAUGAUAAACCCUCAGUCUCCGGACUGGAUGGAGGACCCCCUGCCAAUUUGGCUUGCCCCUCACCUUUCAUAGCCUAUGUCUACAUAACCACACACCCUAGUCUAUUUGAAUGUAAACUUGUUGGUCUUCACUGACCGAUAGAACUAUAUACAACUUUCAGCAACGGAUCUCUUGGCUCUCGCAUCGAUGAAGAACGCAGCGAAAUGCGAUAAGUAAUGUGAAUUGCAGAAUUCAGUGAAUCAUCGAAUCUUUGAACGCACCUUGCACUCCUUGGUAUUCCGAGGAGUAUGCCUGUUUGAGUGUCAUUAACUUCUCAAACCUUUCAAGCUUUUAUAGCUUGUUUAAAGGCUUUGGAUGUGAGGGUCUUUGCUGGUACUCUUUCUGUGAGGGUCAGCUCCCUUGAAAUGCAUUAGUGGUUACUUGAUCCGCUUUCAUUUGGUGUGAUAGUUAUCUACGCCUUUGAAAUGGUCACUUUGCUAUCCGCUCCUAAACCGGGGUCUGUCUAUAGACAAGGACUCUCUCUUGAACCUUUUGACCUCAAAUCAGGUAGGACUACCCGCUGAACUUAAGCAU
RNAcentral lists this unclassified non-coding RNA (723 nucleotides) under Clitocybula sp. RNAcentral describes it as "sequence contains 18S rRNA gene, ITS1, 5.8S rRNA gene, ITS2 and 28S rRNA gene". The stretch from base 302 to 455 matches the Rfam family "5.8S ribosomal RNA". The record is from RNAcentral. Lineage: Eukaryota; Fungi; Basidiomycota; Agaricomycetes; Agaricales; Porotheleaceae.